This 253-nucleotide ribosomal RNA is filed under the name uncultured bacterium. RNAcentral's name for it is "partial 16S ribosomal RNA". It matches the Rfam family "Bacterial small subunit ribosomal RNA", at positions 524 to 776 of the family's 1533-position model. The record is from RNAcentral.
UACGGAGGGUGCAAACGUUGCGCGGAAUCAUUGGGCGUAAAGCGCACGUAGGCGGCUUGUUAAGUCGGAUGUGAAAGCCCUCGGCUCAACCGAGGAAGUGCAUACGAAACUGGCGAGCUUGAAUAUGGAAGAGGGUCGCGGAAUUCCCGGUGUAGAGGUGAAAUUCGUAGAUAUCGGGAGGAACACCAGUGGCGAAGGCGGCGACCUGGGCCAAUAUUGACGCUGAGGUGCGAAAGCGUGGGGAGCAAACAGG